AGUGGCGCACGGGUGAGUAACGCGUGGGUAAUCUACCUCCGACUCGGGGAUAACAUUGCGAAAGCGAUGCUAAUACCGGAUAAUAUCAAGAAUGCUUCGGUUUUCUUGAUCAAAGGUGGCCUCUACAUGUAAGCUUUUGAUUGGAGAUGAGCCCGCGUACCAUUAGCUUGUUGGUGGGGUAAUGGCCUACCAAGGCUGCGAUGGUUAGCUGGUCUGAGAGGAUGAUCAGCCACACUGGAACUGACACACGGUCCAGACUCCUACGGGAGGCAGCAGUGAGGAAUUUUGCGCAAUGGGGGAAACCCUGACGCAGCAACGCCGCGUGAGUGAUGAAGGCUUUCGGGUCGUAAAGCUCUGUCGAGUGGGAAGAAAAACCAGACACCAAUAUUGUCUGGGACUGACGGUACCACUGAAGGAAGCACCGGCUAACUCCGUGCCAGCAGCCGCGGUAAUACGGGGGGUGCAAGCGUUAUUCGGAAUCAUUGGGCGUAAAGAGCGCGUAGGCUGCCCUAUAAGUCAGAUGUGAAAGCCCGGGGCUUAACCCCGGAAGUGCAUUUGAAACUAUUGGGCUUGAGUAUGGGAGAGGGAAGUGGAAUUCCUGGUGUAGAGGUGAAAUUCGUAGAUAUCAGGAGGAACACCGGUGGCGAAGGCGACUUCCUGGACCAAUACUGACGCUGAGGCGCGAAGGCGUGGGGAGCAAACAGGAUUAGAUACCCU
Molecule: ribosomal RNA, 717 nt
Filed under: uncultured bacterium
Lineage: Bacteria
Description: bacterial SSU rRNA
Rfam family: Bacterial small subunit ribosomal RNA
Source: RNAcentral